Molecule: small RNA, 28 nt
Filed under: Bombyx mori (domestic silkworm)
Lineage: Eukaryota; Metazoa; Arthropoda; Insecta; Lepidoptera; Bombycidae
Description: piRNA piR-bmo-1919071
Source: RNAcentral
UUCAACAAAAACUAUGUUACGGGCAAAA